CGGCGCACGGGUGAGUAACGCGUAUCCAACCUGCCCUUUACUAUGGGACAGCCCGUCGAAAGGCGGAUUAAUACCGUAUGUUGUCAUGUUGAUGCAUAUUUUCAUGACCAAAGGCUUCGGCCGGUAAAGGAUGGGGAUGCGUCUGAUUAGCUUGCCGGCGGGGUAACGGCCCACCGGGGCGACGAUCAGUAGGGGUUCUGAGAGGAAGGUCCCCCACAUUGGAACUGAGACACGGUCCAAACUCCUACGGAAGGCAGCAG
Molecule: ribosomal RNA, 260 nt
Filed under: uncultured bacterium
Lineage: Bacteria
Description: partial 16S ribosomal RNA
Rfam family: Bacterial small subunit ribosomal RNA
Source: RNAcentral